CUACUCACCUGGCAGGGAGAGACCCGAUCACGAAGGUGGUUUUCCCAGGGCUAGGCUUCUACAUUGUACUCUGGAUGUGCUGACCCCUGCAAUUUCCCCAAAUGUGGGAGAAUCGACUGCAUAAUUUGUGGUAAUGGGGAACUGCACUUGCACUCUCCCCUG
Callithrix jacchus (white-tufted-ear marmoset) is the source of this 162-nucleotide non-coding RNA. Lineage: Eukaryota; Metazoa; Chordata; Mammalia; Primates; Cebidae. The record is from Rfam.